This 332-nucleotide unclassified non-coding RNA is filed under the name soil metagenome. RNAcentral's name for it is "partial contains 5.8S ribosomal RNA, internal transcribed spacer 2, and large subunit ribosomal RNA". The stretch from base 1 to 120 matches the Rfam family "5.8S ribosomal RNA", at positions 35 to 154 of the family's 154-position model. The record is from RNAcentral.
GAUGAAGAACGCAGCGAAAUGCGAUAAGUAAUGUGAAUUGCAGAAUUCAGUGAAUCAUCGAAUCUUUGAACGCACAUUGCGCCCGGUAGUAUUCUGCCGGGCAUGCCUGUUCGAGCGUCAUUUCAACCAUCAAGCCCUAGGCUUGCGUUGGAGCCCUGCGGCUGCCGCAGGCUCCCAAAUCCAGUGGCGGGCUCGUCGUCGUACCGAGUGCAGUAAACAUCCUCGCUCAGGGAACGUGACGGGUUCUUGCCGUGAAACCCCCCACAUAUCAAGGUUGACCUCGGAUCAGGUAGGAAUACCCGCUGAACUUAAGCAUAUCAAUAAGCGGAGGA